UACCCUUAAGACGAGGAUAGCCAUUGGAAACGAUGGAUAAAACUGGAUAGGAUAUAGAGGAAGAAUCUUUUAUAUUUAAAAGAGAGAUCUGCUUAAGGAGGGGCCUGUGGCGCAUUAGCUAGUUGGUGGGGUAAGGGCCUACCAAGGCGAUGAUGCGUAGCCGGACUGAGAGGUUGAACGGCCACAAUGGAACUGAGAACGGUCCAUACUCCUACGGGAGGCAGCAGUAGGGAAUUUUCGGCAAUGGGGGGAACCCUGACCGAGCAACGCCGCGUGAACGAAGAAGUUAUUCGUAAUGUAAAGUUCUUUUAUCAGGGAAGAAAGAGGAAUUUGACGGUACCUGAGGAAUAAGCUCCGGCUAACUACGUGCCUGCAGCCGCGGUAAUACGUAGGGAGCGAGCGUUAUCCGGAAUUAUUGGGCGUAAAGGGUGCGUAGAUGGCAUAGUAAGUCUUUUGUAAAAAUGCUGGGCUCAACCCAGUAGGGCAAAAGAUACUGCAAAGCUAGAGUAUGACAGAGGCAAGUGGAACUACAUGUGUAGCGGUAAAAUGCGUAAAUAUAUGUAAGAACACCAGUGGCGAAGGCGGCUUGCUGGGUCGAUACUGACAUUGAGGCACGAAAGCGUGGGGAGCAAACAGGAUUAGAUACCCUGGUAGUCCACGCCCUAAACGAUGAGUACUAAGUGUUGGUGAGAAUCAGUGCUGAAGUUAACGCAUUAAGUACUCCGCCUGAGUAGUACGUACGCAAGUAUGAAACUUAAAGGAAUUGACGGGAGCCCGCACAA
RNAcentral lists this ribosomal RNA (782 nucleotides) under uncultured bacterium. Its description in RNAcentral is "bacterial SSU rRNA". It matches the Rfam family "Bacterial small subunit ribosomal RNA", at positions 127 to 928 of the family's 1533-position model. The record is from RNAcentral.